CAUCGAUGAGGUGGUCCCAUGCCA
This 24-nucleotide non-coding RNA is filed under the name Arabidopsis thaliana (thale cress). The record is from RNAcentral. Lineage: Eukaryota; Viridiplantae; Streptophyta; Magnoliopsida; Brassicales; Brassicaceae.